RNAcentral lists this unclassified non-coding RNA (353 nucleotides) under soil metagenome. RNAcentral's name for it is "partial contains 5.8S ribosomal RNA, internal transcribed spacer 2, and large subunit ribosomal RNA". The stretch from base 1 to 120 matches the Rfam family "5.8S ribosomal RNA", at positions 35 to 154 of the family's 154-position model. The record is from RNAcentral.
GAUGAAGAACGCAGCGAAAUGCGAUAACUAAUGUGAAUUGCAGAAUUCCGUGAAUCAUCGAGUCUUUGAACGCACAUUGCGCCCGCCAGUAUUCUGGCGGGCAUGCCUGUUCGAGCGUCAUUACAACCCUCAGGCCCCCGGGCCUGGCGUUGGGGAUCGGCGGAAGCCCCCUGCGGGCACAACGCCGUCCCCCAAAUACAGUGGCGGUCCCGCCGCAGCUUCCAUUGCGUAGUAGCUAACACCUCGCAACUGGAGAGCGGCGCGGCCACGCCGUAAAACACCCAACUUCUGAAUGUUGACCUCGAAUCAGGUAGGAAUACCCGCUGAACUUAAGCAUAUCAAUAAGCGGAGGA